GCGACCAUGGUGUAACGGUUAGCAUUAUCGCCUUCCAUCAAACAGUGGAUUGUUAGCGAUAGAUUGGGGUUCGACUCCCCAUGGCCGCA
Molecule: transfer RNA, 89 nt
Filed under: Dactylonectria estremocensis
Lineage: Eukaryota; Fungi; Ascomycota; Sordariomycetes; Hypocreales; Nectriaceae
Description: tRNA-Gly
Rfam family: tRNA
About the family: Transfer RNA (tRNA) molecules are approximately 80 nucleotides in length.
Source: RNAcentral